This 467-nucleotide long non-coding RNA is filed under the name Mus pahari (shrew mouse). RNAcentral's name for it is "lncRNA (MGP_PahariEiJ_G0005831.1)". Lineage: Eukaryota; Metazoa; Chordata; Mammalia; Rodentia; Muridae. The record is from RNAcentral.
AGUGGAUGCAUUUCCCAAACCUUCAGUUGGUUUUUUUCACACUGAUAUUCCUCUUGAGGCAGUGAAGGCGAGACACUGAAUACCCAAUACUCCUAGUUGGUUGUGGAGCAAAGAGGGCACAUGAUGAGAAAUGGUAGAAGCUCUCUUGAAGAUAUCUUUUAGGUUUCCCACAAAACUGGACAGUAUAACCCUAUGAUAGACAAUCUGGUAGUCACGCUUCUUCAUGUUUAUAAAAUCUACUCAGCAAAUAAUCUACCCUUUAUAAUUUCUAACAAUUUUAUUAAUAAUGGCAAAAGUCUUAGAGUCUAAGAUACACUUUUGUAAGGAAUAAACAAUUGUGGAAUUCAUGAACAAUCAAGUAUUGAUGAGUUAAAAGAAACAAGUCAUGAAUCAUGGAGCAACGUGGAAUAACCUUAAUUGCAUAUUAUUAGUUGUAGUACAAGAUAAUGAUAUGGAAGCAUAGAAAC